RNAcentral lists this microRNA (21 nucleotides) under Glycine max (soybean). RNAcentral describes it as "gma-miR5671a". Lineage: Eukaryota; Viridiplantae; Streptophyta; Magnoliopsida; Fabales; Fabaceae. The record is from miRBase by way of RNAcentral.
CAUGGAAGUGAAUCGGGUGAC